Molecule: ribosomal RNA, 460 nt
Filed under: uncultured bacterium
Lineage: Bacteria
Description: partial 16S ribosomal RNA
Rfam family: Bacterial small subunit ribosomal RNA
Source: RNAcentral
CCUACGGGAGGCAGCAGUGAGGAAUCUUGGUCAAUGGACGAGAGUCUGAACCAGCCAAGUAGCGUGAAGGAUGACUGCCCUAUGGGUUGUAAACUUCGUUUAUAGAGGAAUAAAACGAGGCACGUGUGCCUUUUUGCAUGUACUUUAUGAAUAAGGAUCGGCUAACUCCGUGCCAGCAGCCGCGGUAAUACGGAGGAUCCGAGCGUUAUCCGGAUUGAUUGGGUUUAAAGGGAGCGUAGAUGGGUUGUUAAGUCAGUUGUGAAAGUUUGCGGCUCAACCGUAAAAUUGCAAUUGAUACUGGCAGUCUUGAGUACAGUUGAGGUAGGUGGAAUUCGAGGUGUAGCGGUGAAAUGCUUAGAGAUCACGAAGAACCCCGAUGGCGAAGGCAGCUUACUAAACUGUGACUGACAUUGAUGCUCGAAAGUGUGGGUAUCAAACAGGAUUAGAUACCCCAGUAGUC